This 336-nucleotide ribosomal RNA is filed under the name uncultured bacterium. RNAcentral describes it as "bacterial SSU rRNA". It matches the Rfam family "Bacterial small subunit ribosomal RNA", at positions 28 to 365 of the family's 1533-position model. The record is from RNAcentral.
GACGAACGCUGGCGGCGUGCUUAACACAUGCAAGUCGAGCGGUAAGGCCCUUUCGGGGGGUACACGAGCGGCGAACGGGUGAGUAACACGUGGGUGACCUGCCCUCAGCUCUGGGAUAAGCCCUGGGAAACCGGGUCUAAUACUGGAUAUGACUCCAUGACGCAUGUUGUGGGGUGGAAAGCCUUGUGCGGCUGAGGAUGGGCCCGNGGCCUAUCAGCUUGUUGGUGGGNGAUGGCCUACCAAGGCGACGACGGGUAGCCGGCCUGAGAGGCGACCGGCCACACUGGGACUGAGACACGGCCCAGACUCCUACGGGAGGCAGCAGUGGGGAAUCUU